AAUGAAGACGACGCUGCUUUUACUCCUCUAUCUGCUGCUGUGGUGUCAAAUUACAGAAGGUUUAUUUGAUAAACGGGUAAAUUUAGGUGAAAAUGUGACAUUAGACUGUCAGAUUGAUGUAAAAGAGAUGUUUUGGGUUUUCCAGAAACUGACAGAUGCUCCAGUGCUGAUACUGCGGACUUUCUCAACAGAAUCUACAGUAUCUCAUAUAUUAGAGGAAAGAUUCAGAAACAAAUAUUCAUCACUCACUUUGAGCCGUUUGUUUAUUAGUAGCAUAACUAUUGAUGAAAUAGGAGUAUAUUACUGUAUAAAAAGAGACAGUACAACUAUAAAGUUCAGCAACGGCACCAGACUCUACAUCACUGGUAAGCUUGUGAGAAAAUCAUGACAAACCUGAAUUGUUGCCAGAUAUGAAUACUGCAAUAAACUGUUACUUUAGCCUUUAUUUCGGUUAGAGAUCUACAUAAUGUUAAUGUAUGUUUGAUAUUUCUUAAACACAAAUGUCUUACCAGAAGAUAAGAGUCAGACAAAACCAAACGAGUCUCAUUAUCAAACGACGCAGGAGGCUCUGAUAGUUUUAUACAUCAUACUGAACAUCAUGAUGUUUUCUGCAGUAAUAGGAUAUUAAAUGAGAAAUGUUGGUGCUUUUUUUUUAGCCCUAUUUCAGAUCAAACUUCAACUGUGUAAGAAAAGACAACAACAAAAUGAGGAACUGGAGAAGAUUUUCUGCACAAGUGCGGCAGAGUUUUCUGAAGUGGAGUUUCGUCUUUUUCAACCGAACAACAACACUUUUGCUCCUUUUCAAAAUCCAAUGACAAAAACCAGACGCAUAUAAUUAUCAUUAUCAUUGCAGUCUACAGAAUCAUGUUCUGCUGAAUAAUGAAAGCAAAAUAAUGUUCGCUUGAUUGCUGACUCUUGUUUCAAAUUGACUGAUGUUUGUAAAUUUUACAUAGGUAAUGUAAAAAUGAUGUUUUCAGCAUGCCUUCUG
Molecule: long non-coding RNA, 988 nt
Filed under: Danio rerio (zebrafish)
Lineage: Eukaryota; Metazoa; Chordata; Actinopteri; Cypriniformes; Danionidae
Description: lncRNA si:dkey-119g10.5 (ENSDARG00000087623.4)
Source: RNAcentral